This 207-nucleotide long non-coding RNA is filed under the name Nicotiana benthamiana. RNAcentral's name for it is "long non-coding RNA (NBEN_LNC033242)". Lineage: Eukaryota; Viridiplantae; Streptophyta; Magnoliopsida; Solanales; Solanaceae. The record is from RNAcentral.
GUUUCUCACUUAUUUCCUAUCUUAGAGUUCACAGACUUUCCACCUGAUAAUAAUGAUGGCCACUCUUUAGUUCUAGGUCAAAUUGUUCCUGAUAUUCGAACCUUAUCACCUUUUUCUAGUCCUGUAUGUUGUGAUCGCUCACCUUCUAGCUCUCAUGUGUCUUCUACUGAGCAUUAUGUCCUACCUGUGAGACUAAGAAGGUAUUCC